Molecule: long non-coding RNA, 624 nt
Filed under: Homo sapiens (human)
Lineage: Eukaryota; Metazoa; Chordata; Mammalia; Primates; Hominidae
Description: HSALNT0072960
Source: RNAcentral
CUACAUCCUAUUGUCACCACCAUUGAAAUACAUUUGGCUUCUUUUAAUGGGAUAGUUCUUGUAUCUGUAAAGAUUUAAAUAGCUCAUAAAGAAAUAAGCAAUAAUUUAAGGAAUCUUAAGAUCAAGGAGGAGAUUGUGGUUAUAAAUGUCUGAUGGCAUCUCUACAUCUCAGGUGAAGCAUGGAGGAUUUCACAGAUGAAGUGAGUGAUACCUGAAUAGCUAUUGGAGAAUAUGUAAAAGGUUAUCAGUACCCAUGUUCUAUCCUAGUUUGUUUUGUGCUUCCUUGACAGAACAAGUGAAACUAGGUAGCUUAUAAUGAACAGAAAUUUAUUUAGCAAGAGCGUGGCACCUGCAUCUGAUGAGAGUCAUCCCAUGGCAGAAGAGUAGAAGGCAGAAGGAGAAACAGAGCAUGAAUCUGAAGAAGUCAUACAAACGUGAGAAAGAAGUUGAGAAAGAGAUUUUCCUGCGUAAGAAAAUGCUGUGUUUGAAAAGUCUGUUGAAAGGUUUUUUAGAUCUUUCCUGAUUACGAAUCCAGUCUGCUAAUGUGAAGAAGCCUGGACAAAUUUAGAGAACUGCCCCACUGAAACUAACUGUGGUGAUCAUCAAGAAAUGAAGAUUGAACCU